GCGGGUGUAGUUCAAUGGUAGAACGGGGGCUUCCCAAGCCUCAAACGAGGGUUCGAUUCCCUUCACCCGCU
Molecule: transfer RNA, 71 nt
Filed under: Candidatus Methylacidithermus pantelleriae
Lineage: Bacteria; Pseudomonadati; Verrucomicrobiota; Methylacidiphilae; Methylacidiphilales; Methylacidiphilaceae
Rfam family: tRNA
About the family: Transfer RNA (tRNA) molecules are approximately 80 nucleotides in length.
Source: Rfam by way of RNAcentral